UUUCAGAAAUGAUGAUAUUUUCUUUGUUUUAAUACAUUUUCUUUAAAAAUAAAAAAAAAUUAAUACCAUGACUUGACU
Molecule: microRNA precursor, 78 nt
Filed under: Cajanus cajan (pigeon pea)
Lineage: Eukaryota; Viridiplantae; Streptophyta; Magnoliopsida; Fabales; Fabaceae
Description: miRNA gene-KK1_047799
Source: RNAcentral